AAAAAGUUUGACCAUGAAAAUUCACAUAUCUAAGAAAAGCAGUCGUUUAAUUGAUUAUAAGAAAGUUUCAGUAUAUCAUGUCAAAUUUCUUUAAUUUGAGAGUUUUCCUUUAGUUACAAAUGUAGCUCCAUGUCUGAUGGUGAAAUAAAAAUGAAUGUCUCAGAAAGUGGUGAAUUAGUUUCCAUAAAUGACAGAUGAAUCGGGC
RNAcentral lists this long non-coding RNA (205 nucleotides) under Mytilus galloprovincialis (Mediterranean mussel). The record is from RNAcentral. Lineage: Eukaryota; Metazoa; Mollusca; Bivalvia; Mytilida; Mytilidae.